UGACUGACAACCUGUCAGUAAAACAGGAGGUCCGUAGGAGAGGUUAAGGGCUAGGGGACAUUCUUCCAAGGCAUAGCCCCAGGAGGUCCCCAAGCGGGCCCACAGGCCUCUACAGAAAGGGCAGCAGUCCCUCCAGCUGGAAGGGGAUCAACAUGCAGUCGCUUCAAAAUGCCUGGAACACUGAUGUGAUGAAAAUUCUGAUGUAACUUACUUUGGUCCUACCCAGAGAAGAGUUUAUACCAAGAAUCCAUAAUGUGGAAAUAAUUCAGACCUGUAAAAAGAUAGAUAAGAACUUAAGUCUUCUCCAUCAAUUAUCCAUUGACUGUAAAGAAACAUGGUAAAUUCUGAAUUAUUAUUUUUGUUCUAAACAUCUGUCAUCAAAUUUCACUUGUUUUUGUCCUGUGACCUAAGUUGUCUGUUUGCUCUAAUGAAGCUGAGCUGUUC
This is a long non-coding RNA of Hirundo rustica (Barn swallow), 444 nucleotides long. RefSeq lists it as uncharacterized. The record is from RefSeq and is a predicted model, not a curated record. NCBI's taxonomy places the organism in Eukaryota, Metazoa, Chordata, Aves, Passeriformes, Hirundinidae. The transcript is spliced from 3 exons.